CCAAAAUAUUUCAAUGGAUAAAAAUUAAUAUAAAAAAGUUGUAUUUAAAAAAUAUCAAAGGUCUUGAUUGCAGAAAUGAGAGGAUCUGGGUCCGUAUAUUCCACUUAUUCACCUUUAUAGAUAAAGUAGAUGUGCAAAUCUUAAUUCUAACAUUAAAAAAUAAAUUUCUGUUACUUAACAUUAGGAAUACUUUAAUCCCGUAUACAAAAGACGGUGAUAAAACUCGGGAAAAACAUUAUCCACCAAUAGAAACUAUCUUAAAAAACAUUAUCCACCAACAGAAACUAUUUUUUAUACAAAAACCAUAAUAGUUGCAUUUAGAAUGGGGAAUCUUACCGACACAAGUCCAUUUCUAAACUUUAACCUCAUUAAAAGUAACAACAUUGUUCCUGUUCCUGUAACUCCAUAUAAACCACAGAACUGCCACACUAGGAACCAAUUCCCCUCCUAAUUCCGACAUACAAAAACUUCUAUCCGAAAUCAGACCAAGAGAGAAUCAGAGUUUUAUUAUACAGUUGCAUUUUGUUGUAAUUUCUUUUCUUUCAAACUAAGAAACUUAUGGAGCCUUUUCAAAGUAAGAAACUGAUGGAGGCUAUUCAGGGAGAAACAAUCAUGUCACUCUCAGAUUCUGUGAAGGUGUUCUUAGAAAAUCAUGUUUUUACCGCGUUGGUUGAUAACUUCAGGAGGCCCGAGCUUGUGGUCUCAUUUUUGAAAAAGCUGAAGAAAACACUCUUGGAUCUUCAACAUGUACUUCUUUCUUAUGAUCUGCAGAAACUGAUCCCCAAUCGAGCUCUCGACCCAUCGCUGGAUUUGCUCAGAUCCGCUCUCUUUCAACUUGUUACAUUCUUUGAGGAGAUUGGUUCUUCAUUGAGGUAUGAAUAUGAUACCCCAAUUAAUAUUAACCUGCUGAGAUAUCUUGUUCGUUUAAAUCAUGUCAUUCGUGAGAUUAGUUCUGAAACGAAAAGAUUGAUUGAAAUAUCACAAGGCUCAAGUGUUUCCAAUUCUAUCACUGUUUCCCAUGAAACUAUUUCGGAUGAUGAGUCUCUUAUUUAUGGAAGAGACACUGAUGUUGAGAAACUUAAGGAUAUUUUGCUGUCUAAUAGUGAUGAUAAAAUAAGAGUGAUUUCAAUUGUUGGUAUGGGAGGUGUUGGGAAAACAGCCCUUGCUAAGUACCUUUACAAUGAUCCUCAAGUUAAGGACAAUUUUGAGUUACAAGUGUGGGCAGAUUUCUCAAAAGAUGUUGAUGAUUUCAGUGUUUUUGAAGCCAUUUUUGAAUCUAUUACUACUUCACAAACAACCAUUAGUCAAAGUUUUUUGCUAGUACUGGAUGGUGUGUGGGACGUAAGAUCUGUCAAUUGGACGUUACUGAUGGAUAUAUUUAAUAUUGAGAUGGAUAUAUUUAAUAUUGAGGAAACACGGAGUAAGGUCAUCGUCACAACACGAGAUGAAAGAAUUGCAAAAUCCAUGCUAACCUUUACUUCUGUCCACUAUUUGAGACCUUUGGAAAUUGAAGAUUGUUGGUCUUUAGUUGCUGAACAUGCAUUUCGAGAACGUAGCUACCAACAACGAUCCGAUCUAGAAAAUAUUGGCAGGAAAAUUGCAAAAAAGUGUGAUGGAUUACCAUUGGCUGCAGUAAUAUUUGGAGCUCUUCUUCGCACCUUAUUAUUCCCAAACGACUGGAAUUAUGUGCUAGAAAGUAAUGUCCGGCAUAUAGCUUAUGAGGUGCACGCUGCUCUGGAAUUAAGCUACAACAUUCUUUCAGAUCCUUUAAAACGGUGUUUUGAAUAUUGUUCAAUUUUUCCAAAGAAGUCCAUCUUAGAAAAAAAGGUGCUAGUUCAGUUGUGGAUUGCAGCAGGCUUAGUAGAAGAAUCGUCCACAGAUCAGGAAAAAGUUGGAGAAGAAUACUUUGAUGUGCUUGUAUCAAAGUCGUUGAUACAUCGACGAUCUAUUAGUGAUGGGGAAGAUAACUUUGAAAUGCACAAUUUCAUCCAUGAUUUAGCUACUGAGGUUUCAUCUCCAUAUUGUAUCAAUAUGGACGAACUUAACCUACAUGACAGGGUGCAUAACAUAUCAUACAAUAGAAGGAUAUAUGACUCGUAUAAUAGAUUUUAUAAACUGUCUGGAUUAAAAGGUCUGCGUACCUUUCUAGCAUUACCGUUACAAGACCAAAUGCCUCAUUGUUUGCUAUCGAGCAAGGUAGUAUAUGAGUUGUUGCCAACAAUGAAACAAUUAUGUGUGUUGUCUUUGUCAAGCUACAAGAGUUUCACUGAGAUUCCGAAUUCUAUUGGAAAUUUGUCAUACAUGCGGUACUUAAAUCUUUCUCACACUAAUAUUGAAAGGUUGCCUUCUCAAAUAAGCAAGCUUUACAAUCUGCAGUUCUUGUUGUUGGCUGGCUGUAAAAGGUUCACUGAAUUGCCGAAGGACAUUGGAAAAUUGGUUAAUCUAUACUACCUCGACGUUAGUAACACCGCAUUGAAGGAGAUGCCAGGGGAAAUGGGGAAAUUGGUUAAUCUACGCUACCUUGAUGUUAGUGACACUGCAUUGAGGGAGAUGCCGGUUCAAAUAGCCAAACUUCAAAAUCUUCAAACUCUCUCCGACUUUGUUGUCAGCAAACAUAAUGAUGGAUUGAAGGUUUCAGAGCUGGGAAAAUUUCCCAACCUACAUGGAAAACUUUCCAUUUCACAACUACAAAAUGUUACUGACCCCAUUGAAGCUUCUAAAGCCAAUAUGAAGAUGAAAGAACGAAUCGACAAAUUAGCUUUAGAAUGGGAUCGUGGUACUACUUUUUCAGAUCCACGAAAUCAAAGUAUUGUACUUGAACUCUUGCAACCCUCAACAAAUUUGGAAAGUCUCACCAUCAAAGGCUUUGGUGGAGUCAACAUUCCAAAUUGGUUGGGUGAUUCAUUAUUUGAUAGUAUGGUGUAUUUAAGGAUCUCGAGUUGUGAUAACUGUAUAUGGCUUCCGCCCCUUGGACAAUUGGGUAAUUUAAAAGAGCUCAAUAUUGACUCGAUGCCUUCGAUAAAAAGUGUUGGUAUAGAGUUCUAUGGAAAUGGUAGUUCUGCUUCAUUUCAACCAUUUCCCUCCUUGGAGACUUUACGCUUUGAGGAUAUGCCUGAGUGGGAGGAGUGGAACAUGAUUGAAGGUCCGACAAUGAAUUUUCCUAAUUUCAAACGUUUGUUGCUAAGCAUGUGUCCUAAACUCCAAGGAGACAUACCUCACACACUUCCAUCCUUAAUUGAACUUGAGUUAAGAAGGUGUCCUUUGCUUUUGGAGUCAAGAAGGUGUCCUUUACUUGUGGAGUCAAGACAUUCAUCUCAUAAUAACAACAUCAUAAGUAUAAUUCCAAUGUCAGAUGUAUUCCACAGAUUGAUGCUCCCUCUCAAUUCUCUUCAACAGUUAACCUUAGACGACUUUCCAUAUCUAACGUCUUUCCCAACAAACGGUCUACCAAAAACCUUGAAAUUUCUCAUAAUCAGUAAUUGUGAGAAUCUAGAGUUUCUACCUCAUGAAUACUUACACAGUUACACAUCGCUUGAGGAAUUGAAAAUAUCUUAUAGCUGUAAUUCAAUGAUAUCAUUUACCUUGGGCGCUCUCCCUGUCCUAAAGAGUCUGUUUAUUGAGGGUUGUAUAAAUCUGAAAUCGAUAUUAAUUGCAGAAGAUGUGUCGCAAAAGAGUCUCUCAUUUCUUAGAAGCAUCAAAAUAUGGGAUUGUAAUGAACUUGAGUCAUUUCCCCCUGGUGGAUUGGCCACUCCAAACCUCAUUUAUUUUGCAGUGUGGAAGUGUGAGAAGCUGCCUUCACUACCAGAAGCAAUGCACACUCUAACUGACCUUCGAGAAAUGGAAAUUGAUAAUCUACCAAAUCUUCAAUCAUUCGUCAUAGAUGAUUUGCCUAGCAGUUUACAAGAACUAACUGUUGGUUCUGUUGGAGGGAUUUUGCGGAAUACUGAGCCAACUUGGGAACAUCUCACCUGUCUCUCAGUGCUGCGAAUUAACAGCGAUGAUUCGGUGAACAUGCUGAUGGGGACCUUUCUACCUUCAUCGCUUGUGACACUAUGCAUCUAUGAUCUCAAUGAUACAGUCAUUGAUGGGAAGUGGUUUCAACAUCUAAACUCUCUCCAAAAACUUGAGAUUGUUAAUGCUCCCAAACUCAAGUCGUUGCCAAAAGAAGGAUUGCCUUCUUCUCUGUAUGUACUAAGUAUCACUUGCUGUCCAUUACUGGAAGCAAGUUUGCAGAGGAAGCGAGGGAAAGAAUGGCGUAAGGUUGCUCGCAUUCCCUUCAUAAUCAUCAAUGACAAAAUGAUCACAUGAGUUUCCUUUCUAGAAUUAUGUUCUGUGUUACCUCUGCUUCUGCCCAAUUUUGCUGCUGCAUGAAAGCAAUAUAGUUAAGAUCUACUGUUGGUUGCAGCCUUGCAGGAUCAUAUGAUCCUAUUUUCCACGGCUGCCAGAGCGUGCUACAAUCGGAGCAAGAUUGUGUUUUAAUGCCGCUGUGGUCGGAUCGAGAUCUCUUUGCAGGAUACUAUCAAGUGAAAGAAACACUCGAAGAAUUUGGAGAAACUGUCGAAUCUGAAUAUCAACAUUGGCACCAAUUCCACUGCCACUGCUGUGUGAAUACUUUAAUCGGACCACAGGAAAAGCCAGGUACCGAUAAAUCAAAAGCAAAGAAGGCAUCAGAACUCGAUAUCGAGUCAAAGAAACCUAAAAUUGUAGAAGGAGGAACUGCGGUUAAUAAUGUUAAAACGUGUACUUUAUGCAAUGUGGUGUGUAAUAGCGGGAUAAUUUUCAAUCUGCACCUUGUUGGCCAGAAACAUGCUGCUAUGGUGAAGAAACUGCCUAUAUUAUUCAAAAACUUGUUGGUUAAAAUAUUGGUUGGGCAUAACUUGUAUGGAAUCAAUUAAUCCCACCCUGGAAAUCACUUUUAGAACGGAGAUUGAUGCAUAAUAAAUAGGGUUCUCACAGAUGAAGUAAGGGAUAUAGCUGCAAUUUUGUAUCAAUAUGUAAUAUUUGUGUCAGAGAAGCUGAAUCCAACACUCAUUUAUUUCAUGGUUGUCCAUUUUCUCAUAGAAUGU
RNA transcript from Vicia villosa (hairy vetch), 5066 nucleotides. It is a transcript of the gene named putative disease resistance protein At3g14460, with no coding region annotated. The record is from RefSeq and is a predicted model, not a curated record. The transcript has 3 exons. Lineage: Eukaryota; Viridiplantae; Streptophyta; Magnoliopsida; Fabales; Fabaceae.